AUGAGUGGCGAACGGGUGAGUAACACGUGAGUAACCUGCCCUCUUCUUUGGGAUAACGGUCGGAAACGGCUGCUAAUACCGGGUAUUCACUGUCCUUCGCAUGGGGGGUGGUGGAAAGGUUUUUUCUGGUGGGGGAUGGGCUCGCGGCCUAUCAGCUUGUUGGUGGGGUGAUGGCUUACCAAGGCUUUGACGGGUAACCGGCCUGAGAGGGUGACCGGUCACAUUGGGACUGAGAUACGGCCCAGACUCCUACGGGAGGCAGCAGUGGGGAAUAUUGCACAAUGGGCGAAAGCCUGAUGCAGCGACGCCGCGUGAGGGAUGAAGGCCUUCGGGUUGUAAACCUCUUUCGCUCAUGGUCAAGCCGCAACUCAAGGUUGUGGUGAGGGUAGUGGGUAAAGAAGCACCGGCUAACUACGUGCCAGCAGCCGCGGUAAUACGUAGGGUGCGAGCGUUGUCCGGAAUUAUUGGGCGUAAAGGGCUUGCAGGCGGUUUGUCGCGUCUGCCGUGAAAUCCUCUGGCUUAACUGGGGGCGUGCGGUGGGUACGGGCAGACUUGAGUGCGGUAGGGGAGACUGGAACUCCUGGUGUAGCGGUGGAAUGCGCAGAUAUCAGGAAGAACACCGGUGGCGAAGGCGGGUCUCUGGGCCGUUACUGACGCUGAGGGGCGAAAGCGUGGGGAGUGAACAGGAUUAGAUACCCUGGUAGUCCACGCUGUAAACGUUGGGCACUAGGUGUGGGGGCCACCCGUGGUUUCUGCGCCGUAGCUAACGCUUUAAGUGC
RNAcentral lists this ribosomal RNA (779 nucleotides) under uncultured Actinomyces sp. RNAcentral describes it as "bacterial SSU rRNA". It matches the Rfam family "Bacterial small subunit ribosomal RNA", at positions 91 to 867 of the family's 1533-position model. The record is from RNAcentral. Lineage: Bacteria; Bacillati; Actinomycetota; Actinomycetes; Actinomycetales; Actinomycetaceae.